Molecule: ribosomal RNA, 253 nt
Filed under: uncultured bacterium
Lineage: Bacteria
Description: partial 16S ribosomal RNA
Rfam family: Bacterial small subunit ribosomal RNA
Source: RNAcentral
UACGUAGGGUGCAAGCGUUGUCCGGAAUUACUGGGCGUAAAGCGCACGUAGGCGGAUAUUUAAGUCAGGGGUGAAAUCCUGGAGCUCAACUCCAGAACUGCCUUUGAUACUGAGGAUCUUGAGUUCGGGAGAGGUGAGUGGAACUGCGAGUGUAGAGGUGAAAUUCGUAGAUAUUCGCAAGAACACCAGUGGCGAAGGCGGCUCACUGGCCCGAUACUGACGCUGAGGCACGAAAGCGUGGGGAGCAAACAGG